AGCGAACGCUGGCGGCAGGCCUAACACAUGCAAGUCGAACGAACCUUUCGGGGUUAGUGGCGGACGGGUGAGUAACACGUGGGGACGUGCCUUUAGGUUCGGAAUAACUCAGGGAAACUUGUGCUAAUACCGAAUGUGCCCUUCGGGGGAAAGAUUAAUCGCCUUUAGAGCGGCCCGCGUCUGAUUAGCUAGUUGGUUGAGGUAAUGGCUCACCAAGGCGACGAUCAGUAGCUGGUCUGAGAGGAUGAUCAGCCACAUUGGGACUGAGGCACGGCCCAAACUCCUACGGGAGGCAGCAGUGGGGAAUCUUGCGCAAUGGGCGAAAGCCUGACGCAGCCAUGCCGCGUGAAUGAUGAAGGUCUUAGGAUUGUAAAAUUCUUUCACCGGGGACGAUAAUGACGGUACCCGGAGAAGAAGCCCCGGCUAACUUCGUG
Molecule: ribosomal RNA, 434 nt
Filed under: uncultured bacterium
Lineage: Bacteria
Description: partial 16S ribosomal RNA
Rfam family: Bacterial small subunit ribosomal RNA
Source: RNAcentral